This 662-nucleotide ribosomal RNA is filed under the name uncultured archaeon. RNAcentral's name for it is "bacterial SSU rRNA". It matches the Rfam family "Archaeal small subunit ribosomal RNA", at positions 112 to 775 of the family's 1478-position model. The record is from RNAcentral.
CCCUGAGCUAGGAGAUAAUCUUGGGAAACUGAAGCUAAUACCCUAUAGGUUUUUGUAACUGGAAUGUGCAAAAACUCAAAGCUCAGACGGCUCAGGAUAGGACUACGGCUUAUCAGGCUGUUGUUGGGGUAAUGACCCAGCAAACCGAUAACGAGUACGGGCUAUGGAAGUAGCAGCCCGGAGAUGGAUUCUGAGACAUUAAUCCAGGUACUACGGUACGCAGCAGGCGCGCAAACUUUACAAUGCUCUCACGAGCGAUAAGGGAACUUGGAGUGUUCUUGCUUUUUGCAAGAACUUUUGUUAACUGAAAACGGGUUAGCGAAUAAGGGGUGGGUAAGACGGGUGCCAGCCGCCGCGGUAAUACCCGCGCCCCGAGUGAUAGCCACGAUUAUUGGGUCUAAAGCGUCCGUAGCCGGUUUAACAAGUCCCUGGUGAAAUCUUACGGCAAACCGUAAGGCCUGCUAGGGAUACUGUUGAACUUGAGACCGGGAAAAGGUAGGGGUACUCGUAGGGUAGGGGUAAAAUCCUAUAAUCCUACGGGGACCACCUGUGGCGAAGGCGCCUACCUGGAACGGGUCUGACGGUGAGGGACGAAAGCUUGGGGAGCAAUCGGGAUUAGAUACCCCGGUAGUCCAAGCUGUAAACAAUGCCCGCUUGGUGUU